This 763-nucleotide long non-coding RNA is filed under the name Solanum tuberosum (potato). RNAcentral describes it as "long non-coding RNA (STUB_LNC004100)". Lineage: Eukaryota; Viridiplantae; Streptophyta; Magnoliopsida; Solanales; Solanaceae. The record is from RNAcentral.
UUUUUAAUGUUUGUGUUUAGUUGAAUUAAGAAAAUAAAACUGGUUUAAAUUUUAGAAGAGGGAGUAAAAGUUUGCAAUGGUGUGUGAGGAUUGAGGAAUAUAGCAGCAAAUUUGCAUAGAAUCAAUGUCUUGGAAAUUGCGGGGCGAUUUAUAUUAUAGAGAUAUGAGUUUUGGAUGUGAUGAUGCUAAAUAAAAUACAACAAAAAUGUUCCUAUCAAAAUUGUCUCACUUUCUAGGACUUGAUGUAUUAUUCAAUUAAUCUCAAUUAUGCCAUUUACAUUAAAUAAUUAAGUUUAAUAUACCAUCCCAAAAAAACUAAGUUUAAUACUACUCAUUUUCAAAUGUGAGAACCAAGUAUUUCAAAAGUUAAAAUAUUCAUAAAAUUUAAGACCUGAAGUUUGAUCUAUAUACUAUUCAAUCUUUCCAGAAAAUAAUUUACCAAUCAGAUCCAACAAAUUUGUCCUCACCCAACUACCUAUAUUCACCAACCCCAACCCACAAUUUAAAAUACCAUUGAAAAAGCACCCCCAAAGUUACCAAAAAUACCUAGAAUAUCCCUCCCCUUACUUUUCUGUUUACAAUCUGUCUUCACGUCUCACGUCUCACGUCUCACGACUCACGCCUCGACGGAGUCCCCAACGUCUCCUCUCCCCCAACACACUUUAUAUUCAUUUCCCUCAUCCUCCUUCUUCUACUCUUCUUACUCUCUCUGCAGCAAAUUCUUCGAUCUGAUUCGCCAAAAUGCAGAGCACAGCAAUCUCGU